AUACUUAACCUGGCAGGGGAGAUACCACCAUCAAGAAGGUGGUUUUCCCAGGCUGAGGCUCAUUCCUUGCACUCUGAAUGUGCUGACUGACCCCUGUGACUUCCACAAAUGCGGGAAACUCGACUGCAUAAUUUGUGGUAGUGGUUCACUGAUUUCACGUUCUUCCCU
Molecule: small nuclear RNA, 168 nt
Filed under: Castor canadensis (American beaver)
Lineage: Eukaryota; Metazoa; Chordata; Mammalia; Rodentia; Castoridae
Description: U1 spliceosomal RNA (ENSCCNG00000026911.1)
Rfam family: U1 spliceosomal RNA
About the family: U1 is a small nuclear RNA (snRNA) component of the spliceosome (involved in pre-mRNA splicing).
Source: RNAcentral